UUAUAGCUCAGUCAGUAGAGCAUAAGACUCUUAAUCUCAGGGUCGUGAGUUCAAGCCCUAUGUUGGGUGAAAAA
Non-coding RNA from Podarcis lilfordi (Lilford's wall lizard), 74 nucleotides. The record is from the annotation of a GenBank genome assembly. Lineage: Eukaryota; Metazoa; Chordata; Lepidosauria; Squamata; Lacertidae.